GGUUAUGGUUCAGUGGCAGAGUGCUUGCCUAGCAUGUAUGAGGCACUGGGUUUGAUCCUCAGCACCA
RNAcentral lists this transfer RNA (67 nucleotides) under Marmota monax (woodchuck). RNAcentral describes it as "tRNA.Ala". The record is from RNAcentral. Lineage: Eukaryota; Metazoa; Chordata; Mammalia; Rodentia; Sciuridae.